GGAGGGCGCAAUGCUGCGGUUUUAGCAGGCACUAAUGGAGCAUUUCACCAUAGGGACAUUGGUGGUAUGCCCCAAGCUACAUACCCUAUGGAAUACAUGAGGGAUGCAUGGAUUAGUCAGAGAGACAAAUAUAUGAAUAUGAUACCUACAAAUCAUAACUAUGGUGGUAUUCCGGAGACAUCUUCAGCACAUCAAAUUCAAAUGAUUCAAGCUCCGGAAUUGCCAAAGGAAGAAAAGCCAGUGGAAGAAGCACCUGUCGUCGAGAAGGCAAACGGAACUCGUAAGAAAAGACAGGGGCCCAAGGUUCCCAAAUCUCCCAGGGCUAAGAAGCCAAAGAUGGGGCCUCGUGCACCAAAGGAUGAGAAUGCUCCCUCAGUUCAACGUGCAAGGGUUCCAAAGAAAACUACUGAAAUUGUAAUAAACGGAAUUGAUAUGGAUAUUUCUAGUAUUCCAGUUCCUGUUUGUUCAUGCACUGGAGUGCACCAACAGUGUUAUAAAUGGGGCUCUGGCGGUUGGCAGUCUGCAUGUUGCACGACAGGGAUGUCAGUGUAUCCUUUGCCUAUGAGUACCAAGCGGCGUGGUGCUAGGAUAGCUGGAAGGAAAAUGAGUAUAGGAGCAUUUAAGAAAGUGUUAGAGAAACUUGCAGCUGAGGGUUAUAACUUUUCUAAUCCGAUUGAUUUGAGGACUUAUUGGGCAAAACAUGGCACCAACAAGUUUGUCACCAUUAGGUAGGUCUAUUCUAUUGUCAACUGGCUUCAUGUUCCUUUCUGCCUGUUUGUCAUGUAUAUAUUUAUUUGUGUAUUUGGCCUGAGACUGAGGCUUCUUAGAUGGUUUGUAGUACAACAAUUUUCAAAGUCACAAGACAUUUCCUGUUCUCCUCUAACUCUUCCUAUGUUGUUAUCUUCACUUCUUUGGAUUUAGUACUUGGGAAUUCAAUCAUUUGGUUAAUUGGUUGGUUCUGAUAGGGAACUAGCGGAUGGCAUUUUGUUUUAUUAAUAUUUAGAAGUAAAAUUUUAUCCAUUCAUGAAACUACUGGUGUUUGAACAUUACAUCGAUUUCCUUUUUACUUCCAACUAAAUAUGAGUGCUGUUGUUUAGCAUUAUACUCCAUUCUCUUCUCUGUUGUGUAAUUAAGAUAUGCCUAUUUUAAUGACCUGUGAAGGCUGGGUUGUACUUGGAAACACCACCCACAUGCACACACACCAUUAGUUGCAAUGUGUUUCUAGAUGGUCUGAUUGCAUGAAUGAUUCAUCUUGUCUUUGAAGAAAUUGACAGGUUUGAAUUGGUAAAAGCAAUAUUUAGUGUUCUUUCAAAAUAUUUUCCCCUUAUACUGUUUUUCUUUCUAUAAUGAAUAACACUACUCUGCUUCCGAGCAUUGUUAGUUCAGCGAUUUAAUUGCUGAAUCAUUUAGCAGUUCAGUUUUUAGAGAAGCAGGUUUAUCGAACAUCGAGUGAAGGUAAGAUGGUUGUGAAUUGUCAUUGUGGUAGAACUUUUUAUGCAUCCCUGAUAAUUGAAUAAAAAUGAAAAUUGAGUGAAGGUAAGAUGGUUGUGAAUUGUCAUUGUGGUAGAAUUUUUUAUGCAUCCCUGAUUAUUGAAUAAAAAUGAAAAAUUAAGAAAAUCAUGGCUUGUAUUAGCAAGUUAAAAGCAUUUUUAUGCAUGCUUUAUGCUCUUUGACAAGUUGUUAGAAUAGUGGAGUCGGUUCCAACUAAGUAUGAAAAAAAUUGUGGCCUGUUACUGUUACAUGAAAAUAGUAAUAUUAUGAGUCUAAUCUAUGAAUGUGAAAUUUGAUGUUAGAGGUACAUGGUCUCACUUUUGGUUGUCAAUAAACCAGAAAAAAAAAGAAGAGAAAUUGUAGGUUGACAUGUUCCUCAAAUAGGAAGUUGAGAAAGAAUGUAGUAGGGCAAGUAAAAGGCUGGGUUGAAAGGGAAUGAAAUGAUGCAGCAUAGAGUAGACAAGUGAGGAAUGUAACAAUCUCUAUGUAGACUCUUGCCAGAGUUGUAUGUUGCUGUGCAUAGGCAUUUAUGGUAUUGACAUGUUCCACAUUACUAGUUGGUGAUUGUUAAUAAUGGUUGUCAUAUGUUUCCUUUGCUAGUUUAUAGUAGCAUAUAAAGUUGAGAUAAUGUGCACUUCUGAGAAGUAAAAUAACAUCUUGUAAACACUCAACAUCUUAUAGCAACAGUUUGAAAUCUUAUCACUCACCCGACUUUUUUGUUUUUUUGUUUUAAAAAUAUCUUUGACAGAAAUAUAUUUCUGUUGUGUUAAUUCUUUUAAAAAAAAAUUAACAAUGAGGAAAUGCUGUUACAUUUUUUAUACAACAUAAAGUAUGCAACUAACAGAUGAGAGUCUUUGCUAUUGUAAGGGUGUGUGGUCAAGUGCAGGAUGUUAAAGUAGUAGAAGAUACUGUUUUGUUCAACUUUGGGAAGACUAGCAUGAAAAUUAAAACCUUGAAUAAUAGUACCCAAAUUUUCAUAAAUUAAGUCUGAUAAAUGUAAACCAAGUUUACCUAAAACUCCAUUGUUCCAGGUUUUGAUUUGUGCUAUACCUGAAACGAGGGAUGGUAAAAUACAAGACUUGGUGCCCAUUAGGUUUAACAACAAACUUUUAAUUUCUCAUAUUUAAUUAUACUUAAUCAUCCAAAUUUUGUGGUUUAUAUACUAUUUAACCUAAAAUUUAUGGUUAAGACUUAAUUUCUCGUUUAUAUGUAUUAAAAAAAUUAAUGGUUAAAAUUAAUUUGAGUACAUAUUUAGUUAUACUUUUUUUAGAAGACAUACUUAGUUAUACUUAAUGAUUAAAAAUUGAUUCUUUUUUAAAUAUUUGUUUUGUUUUGCCAAAGAUCUUUUGACAAAUUGUUAACAUAAAUUUUCUUUUUAACAAAAUCUUUUUUUGUGUAAAAGCACUGAAGAUAUUCAUCGUUCUCUUUGUUUUAUAAAGGUUAAAUCAGGACCAUAAAUUGUUUAGAACAAGGGCAAGAUAUAUAUAGCUUGAGAUGUGUCACGAGUAAUGCCUUCCUUUAAGAAUUUAUGUCUUCGAUGAAUUUAAUAUUGCAAAAAUCCUUUAGAAUUUAGCAGGUUUUUAAAAGGAAUGGUCCCAAGUAGAAUGGAAAGAGGAAGAAAAAAAAUAACCGAAAGAGGAAAAUAAUAAUGCUCAGAUGUGAGUCAGUGAGUGUGAUAUUCCAAAAUAAUUUAAACUUUACUGAUAAGGUAUGUGCAUCGUGUGUAUACUGUAUAGGAAGGAAUGCAAAUCUACUGAUUUGAACUAAAAUUUAAGUUAUUGACCAAAAAGAAAAGUAUCACUAAAAUUAACGUUUUCCAAAAAAGAAAAGAAUUAACAACAUACACUUUGGUCCAAUUUCAUACAUGUAAGUUCAAGAAUAGAUAAUGUUGUUUUAAUUUUUUUUACACUGUUAUCGAUUUUUUUAGGAUAAAAUGAUCUAAUUAUAAAUCAUCAUAUCUGUUUAUACUAGUAGUGUCUUUUUUUACUAAGUUGAAUCCUAUGACCAUUUUGUACUGAAAAAUAUCUUCUGACAAAUGUUUUUUUUUUUUUCUGGGGUCCACUCUGCAAAACUUAUUUACAACUCUUUAGCACACUAGUUGACUAAUAAACUCCUCCCCUAAGCAACAUGCCAACGUGGGACUUUAAGACUUUUAAAAUGCACUCAAAACAAAUUUGGGUAGCUUGCUUAAAAUGUAACUAUCAGUCAUCAAAAUAAAUAGAGGAGUAGAAAUUUGUAACGUUGAAUAUGGUACCACUGGCUGGUUUGGAUCAUGAGUCCAGUAAGGCCCACGCACAAAAGGCCCAACCCUCGUUAAUUUUGAACCUCUAAGUUUUCUACAAGUUUCAACACAAAAGGAAAAAGAAUAUAAAAUUUUCCAUACCUAAGUCAUGCCCAAAUUUCCAAACUAGUUUAGAUUUUAAUGUGGUAGUCAAAUAUUGGAAUGUAGGUCAAAAAACAAAAGUUAACUUUCGGAAUUAAUUUUAAAACGAAUUUAUAAGACAACAACAAUCGUGAGCCAUAGAUUCCAUUUAUGUCGCUGAAUUUUGUAAAGUUAUGUUUUAUGUCACUGUCUCAUUUAACUCAUAUUUACUAAUAUUAAAACCGCUUUUCAUACAACAAAAUAUCAACAAACAUACUCUAUGCUAUCCUAUAAAACACACCAAAUUAACACGGCAUUAUAGGUUUUUAUUUUGUUUUUAUCAUUAUACGGCAUUAUAGGUUGAGCUAUCAUUUCACUGAACGUGCAAAAUAAAUGAUUUCUUUGAACUUCGCACAUUUUCAUAUUAAAGUAUAUUGAUAUGGGAUUUUCAGUUUAAUCGUUUUAAAAUAUUAACUAACAUAAAAACUAAAAUACAAUAAAAUUGGGGUCAAGCAUAAAUAUUGGCUUAAUAAAAUGAAACAAAUAAAUUAAACUCAAACAUGUCACAUGUUUAUUUAUUUAAAAUUCUCUCCUCUGAUAAAUUUGUAGGGAUUGAUUUAAUGAGAAACAGCUGUUUGGUAUAUAAAUAAGUAAAAAAAGAAAUAUCUAUAUCUAUAUCUAUAUCUAUAUAUAUAUAUAUAUAUAUAUAUAUAUAUAUAUAUAAUUUUAUUUGAUUUAUGCAUUUGAUAAUCCAAUAAAUGAAAGAAAUAAAUUUUGGUCUUUCAAAACAUCUUUUCAGUUUGAAUAUUCAUAAUAAUAAUAAUAAUUAAUGACUAAUAACUUCUUUUAUAGUUUGUAAAAGUGUUUAAAUUAUCGAUUUACGUUAUCCUAUUCCUUCCUUUCCUUCUUAAAUUAUUUAUCUUGUAAAAUAAGGAUUUCUUAUUGUGCGUCCAAAAAAAUGAAAUAAUAUUUUUAUUGUAGAAAUAUUUAUGAUAUCAAAACAAUUGUCUUUUAAAUAAUUUUAAAUAUUUACUAAGAUGUAUUAAUUAUUUCCUACUAUAUAUAUAUAUAUUAAUUUAAUUUAUGUGUUUAAUUGUCCAUUAAUGAAGGAAAUAAAUUUUGAUCUGUCAACUUCUUUUCACUUUGAACAUUCAUUAUAAAAAUUAAUGAAUAAUAAGUUCAUUUAUCUAUACUUAUUAACAAUAAAAAAAUACCUCCAUUUGUUAUAUACAUUUUACUACACCAUUUUACUCUUUGUUAAUUUUUAAAUUUUUAUUGCUUCUCUCUUAAUAAUUAUCCAUUAUUACUCUCAUGUUGUUAAUAUUUUUUUUUUUUAGUUAAAAUAGGUAAAGAGACCCAAAAUGUCUCUCCACUAGUAGUUUAUAAAAGUAUUUGAAAUAAUGAUUUACAUUAUUAUUUUCAUCUUCAGUUAUUUAGCUUUUAAAGUGAACAUUUCCUAAAUAAAUAGAGAAAUAGUGUAUCUUUUUUUUCUUUAGGCAGAAAUAGUGUAUUUCGAGUGUGGUGUGUACCAAGAAAAUUCAAACAAUUGUGAUCUUUGCAAUUUGCAUAUUUUUAUUUAAAUAAAAUAUUAAAAAAAUAAUUAAUAACAUUAAUAUUUUUAAGGAUUAAAUGUUUUGAAAGCCUAUGAUAAAUGAUAAAAUUUCAUUUUAAAUGUUUGACAUUAAUUAAGUAAUACAUGUUAUCUUAUAAAUUAGUUUUUUAAACAUCAGUAAUAAUGUCACAUUAUCACAUAAUUAAUAACAACACUCAAAAUAACAUUUUUAAUGUAUUAAAAAUUAAAAAUAUUAAGAAUCUAAAAUAAAAUUUGUUCAGUGAAAUUAAAUAUGUUUAAGUUUUUUUUAAGACAAAAAUAUUAGUAUUAGAAUCUCAUAAAUGUUUUUUAUUUUAAUUUUAAUUUUUUAAGAUUAAGAUUAGAUAUUAAGAUAGCGUGCAGACCUCUCUGUUUCCCCUUUUGCUCUCUUCAUUUUCCAUUCGUAGACGCCAAGAACCCUAACAGGUACUGCCCUUCUCGCUCUGCUCAAACAUUCUCUUACCCUCUUAGUUUUUUCUUCGAUAGUUGAAAUGGGUUUUCAUCAAAAUCCUUUUUUUCCUCUCUCUUUUUCUCAUUUCCCCACUUUCAUUUUGACCUUAGAUUUUAAUGAUCUGUUUGGUUUUUUUACAUAAAGAUAUGAUUUUUUCCCACUUUUUUCAUGGUAAAAUGGAUCUUAGAUCAAAACUCAGAAGCUGAAGCCUUUGGGGCAUGAGGUUUUGCAUGUCUACAUUUAUGGGAUUUGUGUAAUUUACCCCCUUUUCUGGUUUGACUUUAUCUGAGCUGAAACAAAGGUAUAGGUCAGAAAAUUGCAUUCUGUUUGUUUUAGUUUUUUUUGUUCUAUUUUUGGUAUUAAACUUUGUAUGAUUUGAAUUGUGUUGGUUUGUUAGGAGAAUGCAAUGGACCUGGAUAAUUUAUGAGGAUAUUUAACAUAGUGUACAUUGUGCUCCUGUAAUUAUUUUCAUCAGUUGGUGUUGUGAUGGAUGGUGAUAAUGGCCUUAACAUACGUAAUUGGGGUUACUAUGAACCCGCCACGUCGUUUAAGAGCCACCUGGGGCUGCAACUGAUGUCAUCCAUGCCGGAAAAACCUCUAAUUGGAGGGCGCAAUGCUGCGGUUUUAGCUGGUACUAAUGGGGCAUUUCACCAUAGGGACAUUGGUGGUAUGCCCCAAGCUACAUACCCUAUGGAAUACAUGAGGGAUGCGUGGAUUAGUCAGAGAGACAAAUAUAUGAAUAUGAUACCUACAAACCAUAAUUAUGGUGGUAUUCCGGAGACAUCUUCAGCACAUCAAAUUCAAAUGAUUCAAGCACCAGAAUUGCCAAAGGAAGAAAAGCCAGUGGAAGAAGCACCUGUCAUCGAGAAGGAAAAUGGAACUCGGAAGAAAAGACAGAGUUCCAAGGUUCCCAAAUCUCCCAAGGCUAAGAAGCCAAAGAGGGGGCCUCGUGCGCCAAAGGAUGAGAGUGCUCCUGCAGUUCAACGUGCAAGGAUUCCGAAGAAA
This 6900-nucleotide long non-coding RNA is filed under the name Glycine max (soybean). Its description in RNAcentral is "long non-coding RNA (GMAX_LNC002037)". The record is from RNAcentral. Lineage: Eukaryota; Viridiplantae; Streptophyta; Magnoliopsida; Fabales; Fabaceae.